Molecule: ribosomal RNA, 253 nt
Filed under: uncultured bacterium
Lineage: Bacteria
Description: partial 16S ribosomal RNA
Rfam family: Bacterial small subunit ribosomal RNA
Source: RNAcentral
CACGUAGGACGCAAGCGUUAUCCGGAAUUACUGGGCGUAAAGCGUGCGUAGUCGGCCAUUUAAGUCGGGUGUGAAAUCCCCGGGCUCAACCUGGGAAUUGCAUUCGAUACUGGAUGGCUAGAGUUCGGCAGAGGGAAGCGGAAUUUCCGGUGUAGCGGUGAAAUGCGUAGAUAUCGGAAGGAACAUCAGUGGCGAAAGCGGCUUCCUGGACCAGAACUGACGAUCAGGCACGAAAGCGUGGGGAGCAAACAGG